AAGAUGGCGACAGCGCAGGGACCCCUAAGCUUGCUGUGGGGCUGGCUGUGGAGCGAGCGCUUCUGGCUACCCGAGAACGUGAGCUGGGCUGAUCUGGAGGGGCCGGCCGACGGCUACGGUUACCCCCGCGGCCGGCACAUCCUCUCGGUGUUCCCGCUGGCGGCGGGCAUCUUCUUCGUGAGGCUGCUCUUCGAGCGAGUUUCGCUCUUGUUGCCCAGGCUGGCGUGCAAUGGCACGAUCUCGGCUUACCGCGACCUCCGCCUCCCCUGUUGAAGCGAUUCUCCUGCCUCAGCCUCCCGAGUAGCUGGAAUUACAGGCAGGCGCCACCACGCCCUGGCUACUUUUUGUAUUUUUAGUAGAGACCGGGUUUCGCCAUGUUGGCCAGGCUGGUCUGUAACUCCUGACCUCAAGUGAUCCGCCCGCCUCUGCCUCCCAAAGUGCUGGGAUUACAGGCGUGAGCCACCGCACCCGGCCUUAAGCCAGCUUCUAAAUGAGUUUAGCAGAAUUGCAAUAUACUUUGUUCAACCACGUGAUUUCACCUUUAAGUGAAUGGAUCAUAUGUUUGUCCAAGAUAAAGAU
Molecule: small RNA, 579 nt
Filed under: Pan troglodytes (chimpanzee)
Lineage: Eukaryota; Metazoa; Chordata; Mammalia; Primates; Hominidae
Description: processed transcript
Source: RNAcentral